UGAGUAAAGUGGCGGACGGGUGAGUAAUACGUAGGAAUCUGCCCUAAAGUGGGGGAUAACUUGCCGAAAGGCGAGCUAAUACCGCAUAAUCUCUACGGAGAAAAGGUGCCUUGUACUUGUACAAGGUUUCGCUUUAGGAUGAGCCUACGUCAGAUUAGCUUGUUGGUAGGGUAAAAGCCUACCAAGGCGACGAUCUGUAGCUGGUCUGAGAGGACGAUCAGCCACACUGGAACUGAGACACGGUCCAGACUCC
RNAcentral lists this ribosomal RNA (253 nucleotides) under uncultured bacterium. RNAcentral's name for it is "partial 16S ribosomal RNA". It matches the Rfam family "Bacterial small subunit ribosomal RNA", at positions 87 to 339 of the family's 1533-position model. The record is from RNAcentral.